GCCGCCUUGGCCGCCGGGACCGCCGGGAAAGGGCCGCCCCCUCCGCCGGCAGCGCGGCCCCGCCGUCCCUCGCCGCUCUCUCGGCUCUCUCGGCUCCCUCGCCCGCGCGUCGCUCGCAUCCCUCGCAUCCCUCGCCCGGGCGAGCGGCGGGGCCCGUCGGCUGAGCAGUAAAACCCGGCGCUGCUGAGGGGAAACCGCGCUCAGGCUGAGGUAAAGCCCCGUCGGAGCCUCUCGGGGGGCACAGAGCCGCUUCUUCCCGCGGCGGACUGCGGGCGAGGGGCCGGAGGGACGGACCCGGCAGCUCCCUGCCUUGGGAAGCAGCCGCUGCACCCCUCACUCAUCUCUGCUGCCCUUGGGUUUCUUAGCUCAGUGUGUGAGCGCUGUCUGCUUUUUUCUUUUUUUUCUUUUUUUCUUUUUUUUUUUUUUUUUUUUUUUUUUUUUUUUUUGCCCCCAAGUAUAUUUAUAUAUACUUGGAACCAGGGACCAGCGCAAGGACUGCUUGUAGAUAGCAUAGUUAAAUAUCGUAAAUUUUGUUUAAAUUUGUCUACCCGAUGGCUUGGUGUUUGAUGGUUUUGGUGUGUUUGGUUUUGCUGGGUUUUUUUUUCCCAAAAUGCAUGUAAUGGCUACAGGGUGAGGAAGCUGGGCGAGGGUCUGCGGCACACAGGUCCUGUGAGGAGCAGCUGAGGGAGCUGGGGGUGUUUAGUCUGGAGAGGAGGAGGCUCAGGGGUGAUUUUAGUGCUCUGCAACUCCCUGAAAGGAGGUGUAGCCAGGGGUUUGGUCUCUUCUCCCUCAGACAAGUGACAGAAAUGAAGGGACGCAGUAGGGGAUGUCAGGGAACGUCCCUGCUGAGCCAGGGGAGGUUCAGGUUGGACAUUAGAAAGAAUUAUCUGUGCAGGAAGGGUAAUUAGACAUUGGAAUGGGCUGCCCAGGGAGAUCGGCGGAGUUGGUGUCCCUGGAGGUGUUUAAGGAAAGACUGGAUGUGCCAUGGUCUGGUUGACAAGGUGGUGUUCAGUCAUGGAUCUCAGAUGUCCCUUCCAGCUUGACUGUGUGAUUCUCUAAUGGUGUUAAUAAAAAUGUUCUGUUUUAAAAGUUGACAUCUAUGAGUAUCAGCCCUCCUAUGUUGAUAUGAUGAAAUCCCUGUGGUGUACAGUCUUUUUUUUUUAAAGAAAUUAGCUCAAAGGCAGUUUGAGAGCUGGUUGCUUUGGUGGGUCAGCCACAUCCCUGCUGUUUGUGCAGGUACUGAACCCUCUCAACAUUCCUAACCCUGCAAAGGAUAUCUAGUUGUUGUCCUACUCAGCUUCCUGACUCAGCUUUUGGCAUAACGGAGGAAGUGAGACUGUGUCAGACUUGAUUUAAAGUCAUUUAAGCUGUUGUCAAACUGCUUUCAAAACUGCUAAUUUUCAGCCAGUUCCCUGGUCCAGCUCCCACUGAGGAACCUGCAACACUAGUUAAAAGCUCAUGGCCACUGAAGUAUAACUGUAAUGGAUGUGAGUGGUUUUACCUCAAAAUGCCUCUUUAUAUCUUAAGAUAAAUGCCUCCCCUAUAUUUUUUUUUUACCUAUAGACAAAGCAAUUUUGCUUCCUUUCAAUCCUUUUUGGUGUGGCACAGUUUUAAACCUCUUAAGAUGCUUAUGUCUUCUCCUUGCGUUGUCUCAAAAUCAUUCAUGUCUUUUUUUCUUUUCCAACUGUAGCACCCAAGACUGGACACUACUAAAAUUAAGGCCUCAACAAGGCCAGCAUCUGCUGUCCUGCCUGUCACAGACCCCAUUCCUGUUCACACAUGCCAGUACAAAUGCUUUUGAGUCAAUCUGAUCUAUUCACAAUCUUGCUGACCUGUUUUACCCCCACAUCCAUUUCUGCUGACCUCCCAAGCCAGGUAUUUCUCCCUCAAGUAGACAGUAAUGCUGCUUGAGAAAUUAUUUCCUGCAACAGCCUAAUGCUAUGCCUUCAUUUUUAUUUUAUAAUCAAGCAGUCAAGACAUCUUUCAAAAUGAAAUUCCAAGUGAUAUUAAGUCAGAGAACUGUAGAAUUUGUCAUCCUCUGUAAAUCGAUUGCACUUCUGGGAAGGAUUGUAUUUAAAAAAGCAAAACUAAGAUUGAACUGUGCCACGGUUACAGAAGGGUUGUGUAACUCUAAGUUUAGAAGAGUGAAUUGUACAUAUUUGUAGACAUUUAAAAUUUUAAAUUUUCUUAAACUAAACCAGCUAAAAUAAUCUAAAUGCAAACAAGGGUGGAUAACAAAGAAUGUGGGUCGGAGUUAUACCAAUACAAGGUAAAAUAUGGCAAAAACAGUGUAAUGUCCCAUUAGUGAGGGACAGAACCUGUAUUUAUAUGUGUUUUGCUAUUCCAUGUGCUUAAUUCUGAUAGCUCAGAAUUCCUCAGUUGUGCUCACUGUCCUGUGUGCUGCUUUUGAUGUGAACAGUGCAGUGAGCAGCUCAUAAAGCUACUGGCAGCAUGCUCUGCAGAAGGGAGGUUCUAGCACAGCCUGAUGGCUACACUGGCACUUCAGGUGCAGUUGAGCAAGUCAUUUUACAUGAUUGUACUUCAGUUUUCCUAGUGUGAGAUUAAUCCAUCUUUGUAAAACACCAAGUACCUAAAACUGAAGCCUGUGAUGUGGGUAUCUAUUAAAAUAACUGCCAUAGAAGGGAUAAAAAUCAACAGUGCUGUCCAAGUCCACUGUCCAGUGUGCACAGAUGUUUUUUACCCUUCAUUCUGACUUUGUAUAAUAACUACAGAAUUAGUUCUUCAGUGCAGCUGAACAAGCUGGUAAAUAACGCAUUCAGCUAAACAAUUUCUUAGAUGGUCAUCAUGUAGUCUGGUUGGUCCAUUUUGGCUGUGUAAAGCAUUUUUCUGAUGUGUUUUAUAUCAGGUGAUGUUUGGACAGUAACAAUUCGAGAAAAAAAUACAGGCUUUAUCAGGAAAUAAACAGAAAUCUUACCUUUUCUUUAUCAUGUGGCCAUCAGAUUUUAUGCAGUGGGCUUCCCAUUUAUUUCCUGGUCGCUUUCUUUUUUCUGCUUUAAUCUGUGAAGUCCUCAUCUGUGGUGAGAUUUCAGAGCACAACAUAAGGUAUGAAUGUAAAACUGCUGAUGUUUCAGAGGGAUACUGUUACUUGUCCUUCUAUUCUCUGUUUAGCAUGUAUUUUUUUAAAAUUGCUACUUUGAAAAUGGUUAUGUGAAUCCCAAACAGAGAUGGAGAAGAACGGAGUACUGCAGGUAUUUUAUAUAGGUGUGUAUCUGUAUGUGUUUGUAUAAAUACAUGUAAUACCAAUUUGCAGAAAUAAAAAUUAACUUUCCUCAGAUAAAAGUUCACAUGACCAACAUCUCCCAUACAAGUGUGUGGGCAUAUAUAUGAAAAUGUGUGCACGUUCAGUACCUGCAGCCCCUCCUGGAGAUCUACAAGCAAUAAUAAAUCCUUUUGAUCAGUGUUUUUCCAUUGCUAUCAAAGGUACAAGACAAACCUAUUCUUUUUAAAACUUACACUGCCUCACUCUCCUACAAAAGGGCUUUUUAAAAAUAGCUGGAAAGGAAUUUUCAGGGCCAGCUCCUCACCAGUUCAGCUCUGCUUUUUAGCACCCAGACAGUUGGAACAGCAGUCAAGAGCCCUCCAGAACAGAGAUUUUUGUACCAGUGACUCAGAUUUGUGCCACUUCACGUUUUUUUGUGUGUCUGUAGUUCCACUAUAGACCAUCUGUUAUGGCCACCCAGGCAAGAAUACAGGAGCUCUCAUCCACAUUGGCAUUCUGCUCUUUGCAGAGCAGCUUAUCAAACAGGAUUGCUGCAGAGACACCACUGUGCAAGUCCUGCUGUAUUGAGUGAUAAACACAAAUGGAUCUAGCUGGAGCUUGUUUCACCUGGCACAUGUGACAUCUGUUUGUCUACAGGAAGGGUCACAUAAUGCUCCAUAAAGGAUCUCCUAUAUGUCAAAGGGAGCAUUAUCAGGGAACCAUGGGAUUAGUCCAGAUAUUCCCUGUUCCAAUACUAGGAAGCAAGGAAAGACUUGAUCUCCCCAGAGAACUAAUUAUUCAGACCAUCAGGAAUAAGACCAGCCAGAGAAAGUGUUAUGGGGGAAGCAGCAAAGCUGUUUGAAGAGGCAAAUCAGCAUCUGAACAAGGCUUUUCUGAUACAUCUUUUAACAAAAAUGAACACUGUGGAAUACAGCAUCAUAGUAAUUGUCCUGCUCCAUCGCUGUGAUUGAAAGGGCACAAUCUGAGACUUUUUUGCUUACUUUAGAAUCCAAUUCACGUGUAACAAGAAAGCAUUCUGCUCAAGUCUGUUCUGAUUCAUGUUUUUGGUUUUGGGGAGGAGUGGUGUGGCUUUUAGGCAGCGUUUGCAAUUGCCAUACCAAGUUUCUCUAGCAAUAAGCAAGUGCUUAGUUACAGCUUCCUCCUGCUCCUCCUCAUAUCAGCUGUGCCAUGGCACUGUCAGUGCCCUCAGGAACUGAAUUCCUGGUGCGUGUGGGGUAAGCAUUUUAGGGUCAUAGACACAACCAACAGAAUGGGAACUAAUUCUUCCUCUCUGUUUAUAGACACUGCGUCAUUUGAGGUCUGUUUCUGUAGUCAACAUGGCAAGAUAAGUAGGAGCUUGCUCGCCUUGGCAGCUGGCUAGCUGCCUCCUCCAGCACAACACUGCUCUCACUUAUUCCCCAAUUCAUGGGUUUGGUCCUGCUUUGUUCCCUUCCCCCAGCAUCUUAACUUGCCUCCAGGCCCCAGGCACUCCUUUAAGCCAAGUUUUGUGAAUUUUUUUGUUCUCUUUCCUUCGCUGCCCGUUUACCUCUUACCUUCCUCAGGCCUUGCGCUCCACUGCUGGGCCAACUCCCCUCCCCAACUGUCCCUGCCCGCCCCAACUGUCACCUGCAACGGCCUCAGAAGGUUCUGGUGCUGCCCCUGCUCCCAGGGCAGCACCCACAGGGCACCUGAAACUGCCUGGAAACAGCCACGUCUGUUAUGUGGUCCCCUGGGGGAUGUCAGAGUCUCAGAGAAAGCCAAGAAAUGAGAUGGCUUGGUACGAUUCCCACAGAAGGAGAGGAUUCACACAGUGGUGAUCUUGAUCUCAGAAUUAAGAAAGCUUCGUGCUGAAUUUGACAGAGGUUUGUCAAGAUCUUCAGUGGAAGAGAGACGGGUGAAUGAGUGAGUUAUUUAUCAAAACUGCUUUGUAUUUUUUGUUCUUAUGUUACCUGGCAAGGUGGAAUAUUGCAAGCUUCCACAUCAUGUUAGGGAGGUAAAAGGUUUGAACAGGUUCAGUAAAGCAAAAUUUUAAAAAGCAGAUGCUCAAGGGCACUGAGGUGAUUAAAUUGUCCUCAUAUUUAAUGGGCUGUCUUAAUUGCAAUAUACAUGACACAUACAACAUAUUAAUGAGUGGAGAAGCCUAUCUAAACACUAAAUAAAAGUGCACAACUAUCAGUUUUAAAAGUCUGCUCUACAGAGAAGUCUAGACACCAGAUUUAGGUUAAGAUAGCUCAGUAAAUACAGAAGGAUUGGAACCAAUAUAAAAUCUGUGAUGUGGUAAUGUUUGACAUAUUAUCAUUAUUGAGUGGCUUCUUUGACACGCUGUGCAGUCCCCACACUUAGGGAAUUUUCAACAUUAUCCAGUGUCAGGUGGGACCUGGAAGAAUUUAUAGCAAGAACAAUAGUCAUGACUUAAGUGAGAGCUGAUCAAAAACAGAGUUGAGAUUUCCUUUUCCAAGAAGCAAGAAGAAGUUAAAACCACAAUUUGCUGGGGCACCAAGUGGCACCAGAGGACAAUUGGAAAAUUAUCUGGACAAUCUGGAAAAUUUGUCUUAAGCUAUAUUUAGUACAUCCAGAUAAAUUGUAGCUCCCACUUGAGCCAUUUCAGCUCAAAUACAAACAAAUAAAGAAAUAUUUGAGAGAGUUAUAUGCUUCUGAGUCAUGUUUAGUUCUACUAUAUCCCUUUCUAGGUGAGCUCUUGCCUUGGAGCAGAUUCAUUUCUAACUGCAGUUCUAUAGGUGUGCACCUCUAUUUCAUGUGUUAAAGGCCAUCAAAAAUACACUAGGCACUGAAAUCCUAAUAUUGAAAGCUUUUAGUAAAAUGGCUAAUAAGAGCCCUUCAGACAAGCACUUCUCAGCAAGUUUGUUUUAGAAUAAUUAUAGUUUCUUGCAAUUACUGGCUUUUAAUGACAGGUUGUUGAGACAUUUUUUUUAGUUCCAUAAUCUUUGUAGAGUCUUUUGUUCCUGAAAUUUUAUCACCAUCUUGAUGCAUGAGUGUGAGAUACUCCAGGGAAAUGCUCUUCAAUGCCUGCUUGAGUACAAUUUUAAAAUGUAAUUUUUUGUCUUUUAUCUGAUUUAUAGCUAGGUCAAAUUCAUAUUAUGAUCUUGGGUUCCUUCUUGAAAACUCACUGCAUCUUCAUUUAAGAUCUUUAUUAUGUAAGUCACAUCCUGGGAGAUGUGAAAAUAGAUUUUUUUUCAUCAUCUUCAUAAAGCCUCCUUUCUGAGUUACUAAACUUUCCUCCAAAGUACACUGAUUUUCAUCCAGAAUUUCAUUCCAUGACAUUCAAAGUUUCUGAUCACAUCAAAUGUAAUUCUACCCCCACUGAAAUCCACCUCAGGCCUUCUCCCAGCGUGAUCCAGGGAAUUUGCUUUGGGAUGUUACAGAAGUUGCACACUGCCAUUCUGAUACACAACAGUGAAUACACUUUGGAGAUUUUUUUCAGAAUUCCUGGUAGCAUUGCAACUCAGCAAACUGGUUUGAUACAUCUGUGUAAGCAAUUUAACUUGUCCCCUGUUCCCUCACUGCUUUGCUUUUGACUGAUUGACAGAAUUCUGACAAAUAUACUCACCAAAGCUUUCAUACAGUGCCUAUCAUCCCAUUCAAAUGGUUUCUUCACAGAAAAUACCAGCAGUGUUAGUCCUGCUGGUGAUCAUCUACAGGAUAUUUCAACCUCAAUGCCACACAUGCAGAAUGUUUUAUUUUAUUUUUGUUGCAAAAAUAUUUGCCACCUGAAAUGUUCUCCACUUAUUCAAGCCAUUAGACAGAAAUAUAAACAAGGUUGUCUGCUUUUGACAGAGAUCUACAAAAAUCUUCAUUACCUCCUGGGGAAAACAGGGUAAAAGACAUUUGCAGAGAAAAGUGGGGCAUCCAUUGUUGCUGCAUGUUUCAUUUUAUUUGAUUUACUAUACUUAACUUUUUCCCUUGUUGGCAAGAACAGCCUUAGCUGCUGCUCAUGCUGUUUGCCAGCACCUCCAUCUGCAUCUUUGGUUACUCCUCAGGUUCCUUCUCCCCCUGCAUUUCCAGAAUGCUGCUUGCAUCCUCUGCUCCCGUGGGAAUGCUUCCCCUUUGUGGCUAACAUCCACAGCAGCGUGGAGUUACUCUCCUUGUGGAUGACAUUUUCCUGCAGCUGCAGACACCUGAGCCCAGCUCCCUCUGAGUCUCCUCCGUGGCCUUGGUGAUCACUGCCAGUGAUAAGGGAAUGCCUCUGUCUCCUCUUCCGAAGUCUUGGAUUGGUGCUGUGAAUCCACACCCACGUUUCAGUUCUGUCAGUAAUCCCAAAUCCCCCGUGGGAGAGUUUAUCUGAAUUAAUCUCAUCUUGUAAUUUUGCCAUGUAGGUUUAUUUUGCAACUGGACCAUUCCUUAUCUUACCCUUUGUAGAUUUUUUUCUCUUGGGAGUGGUUUCGAUAAAACACCUCAGAAAUCAUUUAAUUCAGUCUCAAAGUUAGUGCUGCAUUUGCUUGGAAUUUGUGUCUGGCCUGUUUUCUGCUGACCUUUACUUAAAUGAUUAUGUAUAUUCAUGUGUGCAUGUGUAUUUGCAGUGCUUUCUAUCUUGUUCAAGCUUAAUUUUACCCCAUAAGGCAAGCUUUCCUCUCAAGUGUGAUGUCCCAGUUGUUUUAUUAGGAUUGUGACAAGUCUGCUCAUACGAGGCACAUCCACAGCACAUCUGAAUGAAAGCAAACAUCCUGUGUUCCUCAGCCUUCUCUAAACCCCAGCAGAUGGCUGCUGCUUCGGCAAACUGUGAGCAAUAGGAUGGAUCACAUUUCCCAUGCAGCAGACUUAUUUCUGGAAUCCAAACCCAGUAUACUUCCAGAAGGUGGGAACGUGGAUCCAGCCACAAAGCAGUUUAGCCCAAAUCAGUCCUACAUGGUGGUUCUCCAUAGCUCAGCCCCUCUUGCUUUUUUGGGUUGGAUGGGCAGCAGUGCUGAGCCAGGUGGACUGGUAACAGCUUCCAUGUGCAAGUGUUUAAACCCAAAGCCUGAAAGUCCUUUGUGCAUUUGUUAGAAUUUGUGUAUGUUUAUUUUUUCUCUCUGUGAUUAAGCUUCUUGUGGAGAUAAAUGCUUUUUUUUUUUUGGAAUGACUGGGUUUCCUUGAUGCUCAGAGCCAGUUCCUGGCCAGGAUGCUGACAGGAUCUGCAGGAGGUGAUGUGUAUUUUCUGUGCCUCAGGUAACACUGAGGGGACACAGACAAAUGUCCUUGCAGCAGCAGCAGCACCCUGACAUGUCUGUGCUUAACCCCAGGUGUGGAAUCAGGGGCACUUCAGUGUCUGGGUGAAUUGGCAGGAAUCACAGAAUCAUGGAAUGGUUUGGGCUGGAAGAGACCUCAAAGAUCAUCUUAUUCCACCCACUGCUGUGGACAGGGGCACUUUUCAGUAGAUCAGGUUGCUCCAAGGAUCAUCCAGCCUGGCCUGACCAGGGAUGGGGCAUCCACAACUUCUCUGGGCAACUUUUCUCAGCUUGAAACUUGACCUUGCAUGAGUGUGGCGUGUUCAGGGACCCAUUCUCACUCAUUUUUUCUCCCAGAAGGAGGCAACAAAGGAGUUACUUGGGCUGCACGUCCAGGCAGAUAGCUUCUACUGGGUCUGUUGAGAAUGUUGUCUUGAGGAAAGGGCAGUUUGGGAGGGGGUUUCAUCUUUUCUUGCUUAAAACUUCACUGAGCAACAGGCUCAGUCUCAGCCAUUUGUGCCCACUUUCCAUCUCAUGUUGGAGUAUUUAGCAUCAAAGAAGGCUUUUGAAAGAACACCUGCAUUCUUCUACAACUUGUGCACUGAUUUCUUUGCAUGGAUGAUCUUCAAUUGGCUACACAUCUGUUCUGUUGCAUUCAGAGGCCCUAAAAAUGAUGCCAUUUGUUUAGAAUCAUAGAAUCAUUAGGGCUGGAAAAUACCUCCAAGAUCAUCAAAUCCAGGAAGUAAUUCUAAAGAAUUACAACAUUUCUGAUGUUUCUCCUCCAAAUAUACUGAUUAUAAAAAUGUCUGUGUGCAAGCUAGGCUAGCAUUAACAAUCCUUCAUCAUCCAGAACCUCUCUGGUCAGGCAAACCCAAUUCACAAUUAAUGUUUACCAUAGGAUAUUUUCCUCCAUCACACCAAGGCAGAAAGCUCCCAGUGGCUCUGGAGUGCAUCUUUCCAUUAGGGAUUCAGUAGAUUACUCACAGUCCAAAACAGUCUUCAUUAUUUCCUAAAUCAAAGUUAUUCACACUUCCAAUUUCAUUGGAGUUUUUUUUUUAACAAACUGUUGUUAAGCCCAGCACACUGUUGGUCAUAACCUCUGACUAGCUGGAGUAAGAGAUGAAAUUGUUGAUCCUGUCUUCCCACAGCUGUUUCUGUACUUCCCUAGCUGGUUAUGACUUUUUUUCCCACUAAUGGGACUAAGUGUCAUUGACUGGGGUAGGCAGACAAAGACUUUCUUGAGAUUAUUUUAUUUUUACUAAAGGCUGUGCUCAGAAAAAUCAAUAUUACAGAAAAAAACAACCUAUCAACAUUUCCCUUUACAUACAUUUGCUUUAUUUUAUUAUGUAUCCCAGCCACAGAAGGAUAUGGGCACUGAAAUCAGGUGGAUAACCUGCAGCCAUGGAACUCUGCCAAUAAUUGACUAUAUUUUGCAAAUUGCAAUAUUUCUGCUGUUAAUUUUGCUCUUGUUUCUGCUCUUUCUUUAAUCAAGAAGAAAGAUUUACAACUGGUUGUGCUGACCCACUCAAAGGUGUUCGAGAAUAAAGUAUGAACCACAAAGCUGUAUCUAGUCCUUUUUCUUACAGCUUUUCACCACAGCAGUGCCUCUUGGGCUUUUCCACUGACUUUUUCAAACUCAACAAAAGCAUCUGUGAACCAUUUUGCCUGCUGCAGCAAAAAACCACGGGGUUUUGCAUCUGGGAAGAGGGACAACAGUAUAAACUAUGCAAAACGAGACAAAGUCAUGGAGUCAUUUGGUUGGAAAAACCCUCUAAGAUCAUUGAUUCCAACCACUAAUCCACCACUGCCAAGCCCACCACUAAACCACGUCCCCAAGUGCCACAUCUACACGUUUUUUGAACACUUCCAGGGAUGGUGACUCCACCACUUUUCUGGGCAGCCUGUUCCAAUGUCUGUCAACCCCUUCAGUGAAGAAAUUAUUCUUAGUACUUUUCCACCUCUACAAAAAUUUAUGUUUCUGGCACAAGUGGGCUUGAUAAAAUUGUCAUGAAUGAUACCUGUGAUCAAAUGAGACAUCAAAAUCACUUAUUCCUCAACAAGAGAGCUGGAAUCAAGUGUAAGUACCUGAAGGGAGCCUGUAAGAAAGGAGAGGGACUUUUUACCAGAGCCUGGAGUGACAGGACAAGAGGGAAUGGCUUCAUAGUGAAAGAGAGUAGGUUUGGAUUGGAUAUUAGUAGAAAAAUUUUUUACUGUGAGGGUGGUGAGGCCCUGGCAUAGAUUGUCCAGUGAAGCUGUGGCUGCCCCAUCCCUGGACAUGUUCAAGGCCAGGUUGGAUGGGGCUUGGAGAAAGCUGGUCUGGUGGAAGGUGUCUCUGCCCAUGGCAGGGGGUUAAAACGAGGUGAUUUCAGGUCCUUUCCAACCCAAACCAUUCUGUUGAUUCCAUUUCUAUUGAUGUUUGCUAUAAUCAGCAGCAAAGGGCCAUGUGCAGAGGCUUGAAAAUUUUAAGUGGGAGAGAAGCUUCCUACAAAAUUCCUGACCAGAGUCACAGCCCAGAACACACUCAGCCAGAAGCCUUUGGUGAACACUGAGCCUCUCACCUUCCUGUUCCCUACCCACACCCUGUGGAUAUCCCACAUCCAGCUCAGGGUUUCUCCCUGUAGCUGCUGUGGGUGCCUUACACUGCCCAAAAUCUCUGCUACCCAGCCAGGGCCCCCGCACUGCCCCAGAGGAGGGCAGCAAGCUCCAGCUCAUCAGGCCCUUGAAGAGGGCAGUGACCCUGUGGGGCUAUUAAAGUAGGCUCAAGCUGUUCAGGAGAGAAAUACAAAUAAAUCCCUACAAGCACAAAUAAGGCACAUUCAAAUGUGUUUAACUGUGUGUGCCUGUCUGGAAGCGUGGCUCAUCAUUCCUCUUUCCAUUUCUCACUCAGAGGGUCACCAGUGCCUGAAAACACUGAUGUGCCAAGGAUGCCAGUUCCUUGUGGGGGCAUGACUCUGCUCCACACAGACAUUUUCCCUUCUGUCACUUGGCAAAAUUCAGUAUGUGACUUGAAAAUUCAAAAUAUAAACAAGAGAGAUGAACCAGGGCCAAUCAUGUUGCAAGCAGAAGUCUCAAACCUUCCCAGUAAGUGCAGAAUGCCUCUCCUCUAGAAAUACCACCAAUGUCUCCAUUCUUUUCAGCUUAACCAGAACUAUUCCUUUGCAGCUUUUAACCUGUGAGGAAAUAGGGGCAAAAAUAUCAUAGUUGAGCACACAUGUAUGAGACUAUAAAACCACUCAGUGCCUCACAAUACACAAUUUAUCAGGCAAGUUUCUCCCAUCUCCUAGCUCUCCUAUUCCUUUGAAUUGCUUAUUGCUUUUCUUUCUUCCUCAGGAUCAUUUUCUCCUGUAACUUUGUUAUUCUUUAACAGUUCUUUCACAGUUAAAAACCCUCAGGGUAUUUAGGUAUCAUUCUAAGAAUGACAGAACUGUCCCCUGUAUUGUCCUUUAGUGGCUUCUGGUUAUUCCCACGUUCCAGGAUACACCAAGUUACUGCAGUUUUUUCCUGAAAAUUGAUAAAUCAUAUACCUGAGCUAAACAAAUAGAAAAAAGCCAAGAAUUUAUGAGAGUGAGGAGGACAUGAUCCUUUCAGAAAACUACUAAACUGAAUUAACAAGAGUGACAAUUUCUUAACUGUGAGGGAAAGCAGGGAGAAGAAUUCAAUGAAAAUUAAUACUUCUGGCUAAAGAAUGGAAAUAUCUAUUCUGCAUUUUGUCAGGGAAAUUAUUUUGAGGAAGAAAAAUAAAAAAUUGUAUAAGUAUAUGAAAAUACACUCCAAUAUAUGAAAGUAUAUAUGAGUAUGAAAAUAUUUGUGAUGCUUUAGUAAAUGAGGAGUUGCCAUCUCUUGUGAAGGAAACCCAUUCUUAAUUUUUAGUAUUUCCUGUACUUGUGGCCUUGUGUGGUGUAGGCAAGUUGCUGAAUGGUUAAUUUUGACCUCUGCCAUUAUAAUGUACCUUCUUUGUUAUUGGAGUUAUGUCCAAUUUUGGCUACCAGACAUUCAUCCUGUCAUAUGUUGAUUACUGUAAUAAAUAUUGUCAUUACUGAA
This is a long non-coding RNA of Passer domesticus (house sparrow), 12423 nucleotides long. RefSeq lists it as uncharacterized. The record is from RefSeq and is a predicted model, not a curated record. The transcript is spliced from 2 exons. Lineage: Eukaryota; Metazoa; Chordata; Aves; Passeriformes; Passeridae.